GAUGAAGAACGUAGCGAAAUGCGAUACGUAAUGUGAAUUGCAGAAUUCAGUGAAUCAUCGAAUCUUUGAACGCACAUUGCGCCCCCUGGUAUUCCGGGGGGCAUGCCUGUCCGAGCGUCAUUACAACCCUCAAGCUCAGCUUGGUGUUGGGCCCCGCCGCCCCGGCGGGCCCUAAAGUCAGUGGCGGUGCCGUCCGGCUCCGAGCGUAGUAAUUCUACUCGCUCUGGAGGUCCGGUCGUGUGCUCGCCAGCAACCCCCAAUUUUUUUCAGGUUGACCUCGGAUCAGGUAGGGAUACCCGCUGAACUUAAGCAUAUCAAUAAGCGGAGGA
RNAcentral lists this unclassified non-coding RNA (329 nucleotides) under soil metagenome. RNAcentral's name for it is "partial contains 5.8S ribosomal RNA, internal transcribed spacer 2, and large subunit ribosomal RNA". The stretch from base 1 to 120 matches the Rfam family "5.8S ribosomal RNA", at positions 35 to 154 of the family's 154-position model. The record is from RNAcentral.